This 282-nucleotide ribosomal RNA is filed under the name Listeria monocytogenes. RNAcentral's name for it is "partial 23S ribosomal RNA". It matches the Rfam family "Bacterial large subunit ribosomal RNA", at positions 89 to 364 of the family's 2925-position model. The record is from RNAcentral. Lineage: Bacteria; Bacillati; Bacillota; Bacilli; Caryophanales; Listeriaceae.
UACGUAAGCGUUGAUCCAGAGAUUUCCGAAUGGGGGAACCCACUAUCUUUAGUCGGAUAGUAUCCUUACGUGAAUACAUAGCGUGAGGAAGGCAGACCCAGGGAACUGAAACAUCUAAGUACCUGGAGGAAGAGAAAGAAAAAUCGAUUUCCUGAGUAGCGGCGAGCGAAACGGAAAGAGCCCAAACCAAGAAGCUUGCUUCUUGGGGUUGUAGGACACUCUAUACGGAGUUACAAAAGAAAGUUAUAAAUGAAGCGGUCUGGAAAGGCCCGCCAAAGACGG